Molecule: ribosomal RNA, 1579 nt
Filed under: human oral metagenome
Description: bacterial LSU rRNA
Rfam family: Bacterial large subunit ribosomal RNA
Source: RNAcentral
GCCAAUCGAACUCGGAGAUAGCUGGUUCUCCUCGAAAUAGCUUUAGGGCUAGCGUUGUGUUAGUAAUCAUCAGGGGUAGAGCUCUGAAAAGGUUCGGGGCCGGCAACGGUACCCACCCUUAUCAAACUACGAAUACUGGUGGUGUAACCACAGCAGUCAGAACGGCGGGGCUAAGCUCGUCGCUCAAAAGGGAAACAGCCCAGAUCAUCGUCUAAGGUCCCCAAUUAACACUAAGUGGGAAACAAAGUGAAGUUUCUUAAACAGCUAGGAUGUUGGCUUAGAAGCAGCCAUUCAUUUAAAGAGUGCGUAACAGCUCACUAGUCAAGAGAUUUUGCGUGGAAAAUGUAACGGGGCUAAAGUGUUAAACCGAAGACAUGGACUUCUGCUUAUGCAGGAGUGGUAGAGGAGCGUUGAUAUCGCAGUGAAGUCAGAUUGUAAAGUCUGGUGGAGCGUUAUCAAGUGAGAAUGCUGGAAUCAGUAACCUUAAGACAGGUGAGAAUCCUGUCGGUCGUAAGAGCAAGGUUUCCAGGGCCACAGUAAUUGUCCCUGGGUUAGUCGGUCCUAAGCCGAGGCGUAUCAGCGUAGGCGAUGGACAACAGGUUAAUAUUCCUGUACAGGUAGUAGUUGUUAACAGUUCACGGUGAGUGACUAGAGCGGAUUAAUGGUUUAUCCGUCCAAGUCUCUAGGGAACUAGAGAUGAGUGAAAGGUAAUCUUCGGAUUAUUAAUUCCGGGUGAAGCACUGGCUAGAAAAGCUGGUUCACUUAUGCUACUGCCUACCGUACCGCAAACCAACACCGGUGCUCGGGUCGAGUAGACCAAGACCUACGUGAGAACCUUCGCUAAGGAACUCGGCAAAAAAGCGUCCGUAACUUCGGAAUAAGGACUGCCCUCUCAUUAAGAUGAGGAUUUGCUAGAAACUUGGUGGAAACAUAAGGUUAAUAGUAUUUACCUAAUAAUUUAACCAAAUUUUUCGUCAAGACAGAACACAUCAGGAAAUAUCCUGUGAUAUCUUUUCUAGUAACUCAAUCGUCAUUUUGAUGAGAGGGUCGCAGCUAAAGAGCCCACGGAACUGUUUAACAAAAACAUAGGUCUCUGCUAACGCGAAAGCGGAUGUAUAGGGGCUGACUCCUGCCCGGUGUCGGAAGGUUAAGGGGAGAGCUUUACGGUUCGAACUGAAGCCCCGAUGAACGGCGGCGAUAACUAUGAUCGUCCUAAGGUAGCGAAAUUCCUUGUCUGGUAAGUUCAGACCCGCACGAAUGGAGUAAUCAUGUGGGCACUGUCUCGGCGAAGGCCACGGUGAACGUGCAUUGGCGGUAAAGAUGCCGUCUGAUCAUGCCAGGACGAGAAGACCCCAUGGAGCUUUACUACAACUUUGCAUUGAUUAUUGGGACAUUUUGUGUAGAAUAGGUGGAAGACUUUGAAGCAGAUACGCUAGUAUUUGUGGAGUCGAAAUGUGAAAUACCACCCUGAAUGUUUUAGUAAUCUCACUUUUGACCUGAUCGGCCAAAAGGACCGUGCAUGGCGGGUAGUUUAACUGGGGCGGUUGCCUCCUAAAGAGUAGCGGAGGCGUUCAAAGGU